RNAcentral lists this ribosomal RNA (1488 nucleotides) under Stenotrophomonas maltophilia. RNAcentral's name for it is "partial 23S ribosomal RNA". It matches the Rfam family "Bacterial large subunit ribosomal RNA", at positions 1 to 1551 of the family's 2925-position model. RNAcentral also lists the same sequence under 1 other name. The record is from RNAcentral. Lineage: Bacteria; Pseudomonadati; Pseudomonadota; Gammaproteobacteria; Lysobacterales; Lysobacteraceae.
GGUCAAGCGAAUAAGCGCACACGGUGGAUGCCUUGGCGGUCAGAGGCGAUGAAGGACGUGGCAGCCUGCGAAAAGUAUCGGGGAGCUGGCAACAAGCUUUGAUCCGGUAAUGUCCGAAUGGGGAAACCCACCCGCUUGCGGGUAUCCUGCAGUGAAUACAUAGCUGCUGGAAGCGAACCUGGUGAACUGAAAUAUCUAAGUAACCAGAGGAAAAGAAAUCAACCGAGAUUCCGUAAGUAGCGACGAGCGAACGCGGACUAGCCCUUAAGCUGAUUUGGUUCUAGGAAAACACUCUGGAAAGAGUGGCCAUAGAAGGUGAUAGCCCUGUAUCUGAAAGGGCCAUUUCAGUGAAGACGAGUAGGGCGGGGCACGUGAAACCCUGUCUGAACAUGGGGGGACCAUCCUCCAAGGCUAAAUACUACUGACCGACCGAUAGUGAACCAGUACCGUGAGGGAAAGGCGAAAAGAACCCCGGAGAGGGGAGUGAAAUAGAACCUGAAACCGUGUGCGUACAAGCAGUAGGAGCUCCGCAAGGAGUGACUGCGUACCUUUUGUAUAAUGGGUCAGCGACUUACUGUUCGUGGCAAGCUUAACCGUAUAGGGGAGGCGAAGGGAAACCGAGUCUGAUAAGGGCGCAUAGUCGCGGGCAGUAGACCCGAAACCGGGUGAUCUAGUCAUGCCCAGGGUGAAGGUGCGGUAACACGCACUGGAGGCCCGAACCCACUCCCGUUGCAAAGGUAGGGGAUGAGGUGUGAUUAGGAGUGAAAAGCUAAUCGAACCCGGAGAUAGCUGGUUCUCCUCGAAAGCUAUUUAGGUAGCGCCUCAUAUGUAUCCUCUCGGGGGUAGAGCACUGUUAUGGCUAGGGGGUCAUCGCGACUUACCAAACCAUUGCAAACUCCGAAUACCGAGACGGACUGUAUGGGAGACACACGGCGGGUGCUAACGUCCGUCGUGAAAAGGGAAACAACCCAGACCCACAGCUAAGGUCCCAAAUUUUGUGCUAAGUGGAAAACCAUGUGGAAAGGCACAGACAGCCAGGAGGUUGGCUUAGAAGCAGCCACCCUUUAAAGAAAGCGUAAUAGCUCACUGGUCGAGUCGGUCUGCGGGGAAGAUUUAACGGGGCUAAGCACAGAACCGAAGCUUGGGGUGCAUACUUUGUAUGCGCGGUAGAGGAGCGUUCCGUAAGCCGUUGAAGGUGGAUUGAGAAGUCUGCUGGAGGUAUCGGAAGUGCGAAUGCUGACAUGAGUAACGAUAAUGCGGGUGAAAAACCCGCACGCCGAAAGCCCAAGGUUUCCUUGCGCAACGUUAAUCGGCGCAGGGUGAGUCGGCCCCUAAGGCGAGGACGAAAGUCGUAGUCGAUGGGAAGCAGGUUAAUAUUCCUGCACCUCGCGUAAGUGCGAUGGAGGGACGGAGAAGGUUAGGUGUACCAGGCGUUGGUUGUCCUGGGGAAAGGCGGUAGGUUUGGAUCUUUGGCAAAUCCGGGAUCCU